Molecule: ribosomal RNA, 253 nt
Filed under: uncultured bacterium
Lineage: Bacteria
Description: partial 16S ribosomal RNA
Rfam family: Bacterial small subunit ribosomal RNA
Source: RNAcentral
UACAGAGGGGGCAAGCGUUAUUCGGAAUUAUUGGGCGUAAAGAGCGUGUAGGCGGCCAGAUAGGUCAGCUGUGAAAACUCGAGGCUCAACCUCGAGACGUCGGUUGAAACCAUCUGGCUAGAGUCCGGAAGAGGAGAGUGGAAUUCCCGGUGUAGCGGUGAAAUGCGCAGAUAUCGGGAAGAACACCCGUGGCGAAGGCGGCUCUCUGGGACGGUACUGACGCUGAGACGCGAAAGCGUGGGGAGCGAACAGG